RNAcentral lists this ribosomal RNA (666 nucleotides) under uncultured organism. Its description in RNAcentral is "bacterial SSU rRNA". It matches the Rfam family "Bacterial small subunit ribosomal RNA", at positions 1 to 663 of the family's 1533-position model. The record is from RNAcentral.
GGCUUAGAGUUUGAUCAUGGCUCAGGAUGAACGCUGGCGGCGUGCUUAACACAUGCAAGUCGAACGAAGAUAUUUAGAAUGAGAGCUUCGGCAGGAUUUUUAUCUAUCUUAGUGGCGGACGGGUGAGUAACGUGUGGGCAACCUGCCCUGUACUGGGGAAUAAUCAUUGGAAACGAUGACUAAUACCGCAUGUGGUCCUCGGAAGGCAUCUUUUGAGGAAGAAAGGAUUUAUUCGGUACAGGAUGGGCCCGCAUCUGAUUAGCUAGUUGGUGAGAUAACAGCCCACCAAGGCGACGAUCAGUAGCCGACCUGAGAGGGUGAUCGGCCACAUUGGGACUGAGACACGGCCCAAACUCCUACGGGAGGCAGCAGUGGGGAAUAUUGCACAAUGGGCGAAAGCCUGAUGCAGCAACGCCGCGUGAAGGAUGAAGGGUUUCGGCUCGUAAACUUCUAUCAAUAGGGAAGAAAUAAAUGACGGUACCUAAAUAAGAAGCCCCGGCUAACUACGUGCCAGCAGCCGCGGUAAUACGCAGGGGGCAAGCGUUAUCCGGAAUUACUGGGUGUAAAGGGAGCGUAGGCGGCAUGGUAAGCCAGAUGUGAAAGCCUUGGGCUUAACCCGAGGAUUGCAUUUGGAACUAUCAAGCUAGAGUACAGGAGAGGAAAGCG